CAGAACAAAGACCAGACACGUGACCUCAAGCGCACAGGCAGCGACAAAAGGGAACAACAUCUAGGUCCUAACCUUUAAUUGUAAACUUUUACGAGUCGCCUACCUACAGACGGUCUGGCAACUUUUACAACCAUUCUUAAUGAGCGCUGCCAGAAACAUUACCUUAUCAAUGCCAGUGUAACAUCUAACCCUGUACGUAAUGACGCCAAUCAGAGACCAAUGUGCCCAUUACACGGGUGUCCGUUUCUAAAUGAUGGGCUAAUGAUGAACCUAACUUGCCAUACUCGUGUUUCUGUAUUGUAUUGUUGACCUGUACUCUUUCGUGCACAGAGUAUCGAGCACGCCUUCACACGGAAAAAAAUAUGCUCUACAUAUUUAAUAUCAUCUAACUAUUUAAUAGGCCUGUUGUAUUAGGAUUGCUCUUUCGUAAUAUCUUCAUUAUUACACGCUAGAGGAAAAAUUGAUUGCGUUUUUGAUUAUCAGCGUAUUGCGCCCUGUCAACAGGUUUUUAAAACAGAGAGCAUAGUGAAGCCACGUAAACAGGUGCUACAGAUAAACAGAAAAUAUGAGUGCCGAGGAUGAGAACUGAAUCCACAACACAUAACCCUGGUACGGUACCGCCGUGCCACCGAAUCUCCCCUCCUUUAGAGAGUGAAAACACACAGAGAAAAAGAUUGUUUUAUAUAUAUAUGUUAUGAACAAACUUGUGUACAUGUAUUGGAAUGCUAUUCUGUGUAUCUAUUACAAACCUAUACUGUACAGAGUUGCGAGCCAUUUAGAGGUGAGAUGAGAUCUUAAGGAGCACUCGCGGCACUAACUGCUGUAUACACCUGACAGCCAAAGCUGUGCCACGUUGAAAAAGCAGCAAAGUUUCGUCAACACGUGUUACGCAGCACUUUAUUUUCUGCAGCAGGCCGCCAUUAUGCAAGACACAGCGGCAAGCAAGCAGAUUCGUGCGCGCGUGUUGUGCGGUAAAAUUUAUUAAAAUUAUGGUAGUAGAUAUUUACAAAAGUUUAGACGCUUAUCUAAUAUUUAUCUAAUUUUUAAUUUGUUUAACAUUUAUAGUUAAUUGUAUGGCCCGGUCCGCCGAGCUAUCACGUGACUAACUGUACCACGUGCUCCGUCUUUCGCCUCAACAACGUGCUCGCCAUUGUAAGACGCUGUCGUAUCCUGUUCUGGAGAAAGAACUUGCUGUGCAGUUUGGCUUUAAAUCUUCAUUCAAAUUUUGUCUACCUGCUAAUUCAGUGUAUUUAAUUUUUGUUUGUCGUGAAUUUAUAGAUCCUUUUAUAGAUAUUUCAUAGAUAAGCAAUGUGAUGAUAGACUUCAGCUAUUUGAUAUUGUCUUUUGAAAGUUCUGACAUAUAAUCGUAUGUUAAAUUUUUCUUUUUUAAUCACAGCUGUUUAUAGAGUAUAAUCUUCAUAUCUCAUCUGCAUUUUUUUAAAUAUUAAAUAUAAUUUAGAUAGCAUGGACUAUUCGUACUCAACGAAAAGAAGAAGAAUCAGAGCCAGAGUUAGAGAACAUUUAGAGUAUGCUAGAAAUGCCAUGAAUAACGAGCCACACCAGGAAUCGUGCAACGACCAAGCGGCUUUUAGUCCGCUAAGGGCCAGUACCAUUGGAGAUCAGACCAGUGAAGAUGGCAUGUCUGAGUCAAGCUCCAAUAAUUUGACUAUUUAUUUGCUGACCAGACUUUUGGACAAACUUGAGGAACUCUCCCAAAAAGUAACGCAGAAUACAAUUAUUCUGCAAAAUCUGGCUUCACAGAGUGAUGACCCCAGCAGCCAUUCCGGAUGGGUUAGUGCUUCCCCUGAACUCCGCGGAAGAAAUUAAUGAGCUGGAGGAGGGGUUAAUGGACAAGGAGUUUAGGUCAAAAGUGGUAUGUUAAAUGUUAUGUUGUUAUGAAGUACACUUUUUAGCUACAAUUUCUAACUGUACCCUUAGCAAUAAAUAACAAAUCAAUUGUUAUGUGAUAGUCUUGAUAAAUUAUUCAGAAAGUAUCUAGUGAGUUGCAUGUCUAUUGUCGGUUUCUACAUUCUGGAAAUAAUGUUUUUCUUUUUACAGAUUCAGCACCUUUCCUGCAUUGGGGGGGAUUCUGUGAGCUCCCUUGUGAGAAGAAUUUUAAGAAGGGUGAUAAGCUCAGAGGUUGCAGUUAAAUACAAUUUCAGCGGUGCUAAAGGAAAGAACAGCUUCCACACACUUCAGCUGAGGGGAGUUUUAAUUGGUGCGUGGUUGUUAUUGGACUGCUUUGAUGUGUACCAUAAUCUGUAAAGUUUACAGACUGAUUUUUGUUGUGCAUCCCAGUUUUUUAUUUUCUCUUCAUUUACUUUAUAGAUGCAUCUGUAUUCACAUCCUUCCAUUAUGCUUUCCUUCUGUACACAGCGGCAGUUAGGAGAACCUUUAGCACCGCUUCAGAAGCUGAUAUUGACGGUGUAACUCGGAAGUUUUUUUCUAAUGCCAGAGACAGGGAUGGAGGGAGAGCACGAAGGACAUCUAGUGGGACCCACGACAACUAGGCUGAAUACUUCAAAUACUUUAAAAAGUCACAUUCAAUGAAUAUUAAAACCAUUAUUAUAUUUUGCUUGUUCAUGAUAAUUUGUUUUAAAUAUUGUAAUGAUUUUUGUUUUGUUAGGCUUUCACGACAACUAACCUGAAAACUUUGAAAAGUGUUGUAAAUAAAUAAUAAAACCAAGUUUAUUAUUUGCUUAUAUGUGUGAAUCUGAUAGAUUGUUUUCAAGAUUGUAAUGAUUUUUUUUUUGUCAGGCAUUCUCAACAAAUUCUUUGCUUGUAUAUAUGCAUGUGAUAAUUUGAUUUUUUUGUCAGGCAUUUGCAACACAUUGUUGUCGAUUAAUAUUAAAACCAUGUUUAUCGUUUGCUUGUAUGUAAUAAUAAAUUGUUGAAUCAUAUUCUUUGUCUGCUGGUAUUUAGGGAGAGUAAGAGUGAAUGACAGCACCUUCAUUUAAAUGUCUGAAAGAUGUAAGAUUGUUUUUUAAUGUGCCAAUGGUGCUGAAAGGGAAAUUUGGGACAAGAUGAAGGUUAAGUAGGUUUUGGAGUCGAGCUUCGAAGGGCUGAGAAGAGUUUUUAGGGUGGGGCUGAGAGGUGUUUUGAAGAGUUAGUUCUCCCAAAACCCACAAGGUGCUGAUGCUGAUUACGCUUCCAUCCCCCGUAACUUUCCUUAGCGGCCCCAUUUCUCAGCCCGAAAGGGGCCCUUUCUGGGCUGAUGAACGCUUGCAUGCUGGGGAGUGUUGCUGUAGCUUGAUAACGUACACGAUAAAUGCAACGAUGAUAAGACAACAUUGAAGCCUUGCUAAUGUAUCCACUGCCACACCAAGGCAGCUAAUCAUGUGACA
This 3344-nucleotide unclassified non-coding RNA is filed under the name Pomacea canaliculata. RNAcentral's name for it is "uncharacterized LOC112576422, transcript variant X1". The record is from RNAcentral. Lineage: Eukaryota; Metazoa; Mollusca; Gastropoda; Architaenioglossa; Ampullariidae.